Molecule: long non-coding RNA, 645 nt
Filed under: Homo sapiens (human)
Lineage: Eukaryota; Metazoa; Chordata; Mammalia; Primates; Hominidae
Description: HSALNT0270596
Source: RNAcentral
GUAGAACGGUCAGAGUAGCGGGAGGACUGGGAAGGUGGGAAGUGGGAGGACCGUCCAACAUGGCGCUGUGGAAAGCCAGCGCAGGGCCCCAGGGGAUCUUCCGGGGCGGAUGCAGCUGCCUAGGAGUGCUGGGGCUCGCGCGCCUCGGCGGCUCAAACUCUGACCCCUUGAGAUCCUUUCCAGCCCGACCCCUUACUUUAGGGGUCAGCCUGCCCCCGGCGACCAGCGCUGCGCCCUCCCCACUCCACAGAUGAGGAAGCUGAGGUUAAAGUCACUUGCCCCAGGUCACUCCGCAAGUUGAAGCGCAACCAGGAUACUCUGGAACAGGAUGCCUGACUUCAGAGGAGAGGCGCGUAACCACCAGGCAACUGGCCCCACGAAAACAAGUCCCGCAACUUCCCUUCUUUGGCUCCUACUUGCUCCCGGAAGAAAAGCCUUAAACGACAGCAGAUCAGGAGCACCCCGCGCGCCCCCCCCCGCCCCGCCCCGCGUCGGCGCCGGCCCCCUGCAAUGGUUGGCGGUAUGGGGAGGUGAACCAAGAAGGCCAGGAGUUCAAGUGCGUGAUCCCCCACUGGGGCAUAUAGGUUACAGCCGCCAGGGCAACUGAAACUCCUCAGGCUCCAGAGGGCUGAAGUGAGUCGCCUC